This is a non-coding RNA of Pelobates cultripes (western spadefoot toad), 218 nucleotides long. The record is from the annotation of a GenBank genome assembly. Lineage: Eukaryota; Metazoa; Chordata; Amphibia; Anura; Pelobatidae.
AAAUGAAAUCAUAUCUAUAUCAUCAUAGAGACUGAUAUAGAUCCAAAUAUUGAUCUUUGUUAUAUUCAGAGGAAGCCCAAAUUAUUAUAACAAGUGCACUUGGAGAAGCGUGAAUUAGACACCAGGGGCUAUCUGCUAACUAGACAUAUAUGGUGUGUUAAGUGUCAUUUUAAGCAUCAAGCAUUUCCUGAGUCCAAGUUAGCCAAUUUUAAUAUAGG